Molecule: ribosomal RNA, 327 nt
Filed under: uncultured eukaryote
Lineage: Eukaryota
Description: partial 18S ribosomal RNA
Rfam family: Eukaryotic small subunit ribosomal RNA
Source: RNAcentral
CCCUUAGAUGUUCUGGGCCGCACGCGCGCUACACUGACGAAUGCAACGAGCUUAUAACCUUGGCCGAAAGGUCUGGGUAAUCUCCAAAUUUCGUCGUGAUGGGGAUAGAUUAUUGCAAUUAUUAAUCUUCAACGAGGAAUUCCUAGUAAACGCAAGUCAUCAGCUUGCAUUGAUUACGUCCCUGCCCUUUGUACACACCGCCCGUCGCACCUACCGAUUGAAUGGUCCGGUGAAAUCUUCGGAUCUGAGAGAUGUCUGAUUAAUUUCGGACGCCUUUUGGAAAAGUUGUUUAAACCUUACCAUUUAGAGGAAGGUGAAGUCGUAACA